GAUUCGGGGUGCACCAGGCGCGAAACCUUAGCAAUGUGCGAAAGCACGACUGGGUCAGUCCGAGUGAUUCCUGAUAAAGGAGUCUUUUGCUUGUCCUAAAAGCACAGGUGAAUAAGGGGUGGGCAAGUCUGGUGUCAGCCGCCGCGGUAAUACCAGCACCUCGAGUGGUCAGGACGUUUAUUGGGCCUAAAGCAUCCGUAGCCGGCUCUGCAAGUCUUCGGUUAAAUCCACCUGCUCAACAGAUGGGCUGCUGGAGAUACCACAGAGCUAGGGAGUGGGAGAGGCAGACGGUAUUCAGUGGGUAGGGGUAAAAUCCUCUGAUCCAUUGAGGACCACCAGUGGCGAAGGCGGUCUGCCAGAACACGUUCGACGGUGAGGGAUGAAAGCUGGGGGAGCAAACCGGAUUAGAUACCCGGGUAGUCCCAGCUGUAAACGAUGCAAACUCGGUGAUGCAUUGGCUUAUGGCCAAUGCAGUGCCGCAGGGAAGCCGUUAAGUUUGCCGCCUGGGAAGUACGGACGCAAGUCUGAAACUUAAAGGAAUUGGCGGGGGAGCACAAUCACUAGUGAAU
This 569-nucleotide ribosomal RNA is filed under the name uncultured archaeon. RNAcentral's name for it is "bacterial SSU rRNA". It matches the Rfam family "Archaeal small subunit ribosomal RNA", at positions 319 to 893 of the family's 1478-position model. The record is from RNAcentral.